RNAcentral lists this ribosomal RNA (253 nucleotides) under uncultured bacterium. Its description in RNAcentral is "partial 16S ribosomal RNA". It matches the Rfam family "Bacterial small subunit ribosomal RNA", at positions 524 to 776 of the family's 1533-position model. The record is from RNAcentral.
UACGGAGGGGGCUAGCGUUAUCCGGAUUCACUGGGUUUAAAGGGUGCGUAGGUGGAAUGGUAAGUCAGUGGUGAAAUCUCCAAGCUUAACUUGGAAACUGCCGUUGAUACUAUCAUUCUUGAAUAUCGUGGAGGUGAGCGGAAUAUGUCAUGUAGCGGUGAAAUGCUUAGAUAUGACAUAGAACACCGAUUGCGAAGGCAGCUCACUACGCGAUUAUUGACACUGAGGCACGAAAGCGUGGGGAUCAAACAGG